Long non-coding RNA from Triplophysa dalaica, 2775 nucleotides. RefSeq lists it as uncharacterized. The record is from RefSeq and is a predicted model, not a curated record. The transcript is spliced from 2 exons. Lineage: Eukaryota; Metazoa; Chordata; Actinopteri; Cypriniformes; Nemacheilidae.
UUUGGAUCAUUUUGUAUGGAAUGUUAUUUCAUGUUUGUUUUAAAGAGGGGGGAAGAUGGAAAGAAAAGAGCAUUAAACUAAGAGAUGUAGUUAAUAAAGGUGUGAACAAAGGUUAUGAUACAGUUUCCCUUCCAGCAAUAUUCAAGUAAACUAUUUUAAAUCUUUGGUGAUUUUUUGUAAGAUUUUUUUGCAGAAACCAGUUAGCUUUGGGAGAACUCAUAAGCUUAGCUGUUUACAUGAUCCCAUCUCGUAUUGUCAAUAAUAAAUGGUCCAAUUGUGUGUAAUAUACCACACUUUAUUUUGUAUUUAGUUAGUAAUUGGCAAUUUAAUGACAUAAGCAGAAGCCCUUGUAAAUACUAUAAAACAUACUUCAGUGUAAAUUGUCAUCUGGAAAAUAGGAAAUCCUUUUCACUUUGCAUGCACUGAUCUUUCCAGUUAUGUUGCUGUUUUCUCAGACCAAAAUGUCGAAAUCUGACAAUCCUUCACACAAAGAGAAGAAAACAGAUACAUCAGAUAUGAAGAAACAAUCUGACAAUGAGAGAGAAGAGGAGUCAGGACCUCCCAACACUGACCGGCUUGCUGCUGGUGUUGAUAAACUCACUAUUAAGGAGUCAACACCAUCAUCAGACAGGGAUCAAAUCAGAGUCAAGUUUUUGAUCAAUGUCCCAGUGGGCGUUACACCUGAGAUGAGUGAAAGCAAGGAAUCACAUUGCCAGACAUUUCUUGAUCUUCUAAGGAGAACAGCUUUCAAGCCAUAAGAUGAAUUUCGUUAUAAUGAUAUUGCUGUCGUUUUUGGUCUUAAUGGAAAGGAGUCAGAUAGAGGUGCCACAGGUGCCACGGAAGGUGCCACAGGUGAUUCAAAAGGUGACACAGAUACAGAAAGUGACACAGAUGCAGAAGGUGACACAGAUACGGAAAGUGACACAGAUACGGAGAGUGACGCAGAUACGGAAGGUGCCAUAGAUACGGAAUUUGAAAAGCCAAUUCAUUCUAAAAUUGUUUUUGAAAAAUUCAAAUUUACAUGGCAAAAGUUGAAGGUCAGAAAGGGGAUCAAAAAUGGAUCGAAAGUGAAAACAAUCCCAUAUCGAAUAAUCAGAGAAAAAGUUAAAAGUCACGAACACACCAGGAAUUUAGUUAAACAAUUUAGGACAGAAAGCCCGGAAUGCAAAAUCUAUUUCUGCUUUUUUGACGCAGACGCAGUCGAUUUUAAUCAUGUGUUGAGCUCUUACAUAGAUGUAAUCCACGAGCACAAGUACCCAACAGUGAUGUCAACUGGUUAUGUGUUCCCUGAGGGCAGUGAGAACAGAGAAAACAGUGAACGUGAUCGACAGGUGCGGAUAAAAACAGCUGAACACUUUCCUCUGGGCACUUACUACCCAGAGGCCAAUUUCUGUGUGCUUCUACCUGAUGAAGAAGACACUCUUCCUGAGAAGUUUGAUUAUCCAAGAGAUUCGAAUAAUGACAUGGAAUCUCCAAAUUUGAUAACUCAAGUUAAAACACGUGAAGGCUUCAAAGCGGUGUUUGCAGACAAAAAUCCAAUUGUUACUCCUAACCUUACUUCAUCGAAGAAACAGUUUCACACUGAUCCAUGGACCUGGGCAACUGGUGCUAAUAUACACAAAGAAUUUGCACUAACUAGACACCAGGAAAAGGAGGUAAAAAAAUAUAAAAAAAUGAUUAUAAAAAAUAAAUAUAAAGACGACCGUAUGGUAAAUGGUGAGCAUACUCGUUUGUUAAUGAAUCUGGUAAAAGAUCUUAGAAAAGAGCAUAGAAAACAAUUUCAAGGACCUGGCACUGAUCAAGUAUUCGAGGCAGCAAGAGCUGUUCGGAAAUUACUUGAACAGCAAAAUGAGACACAGAUCGAGGAUCCACCUGCAGUUUAAUAGGGUCUAUACAAAAACUAUAAUCCAAAAAUACAGGCGGAUGUAAAAUUCCUAAUAAUCAAUCCACAAAGAAAAAACUGAAAAACACAGGAAAUAAACAAAGAAAACAAGGCAGAGAGGCAGCGUGACAUUAACAAAACUACAUGAGCAAUGACAUAAGACCAGUUUAAAUAAACAUAAAGCAGGUCUAAGGAGGCACAGAUGACAUUAAUCAACAGUCAUGAGUACAGCAAAGGGUUAUGGGAAAUGGAGUCCAGAAUAAAUAACAGAGGUAUGGGAUGUAGCGCCCUCUUGUGGUUGAUCCCAAGCCAACAUUUAUGCAGAAUAAUGUAUGUUGUGCCCCUAUAUGCUUAUUGAAUGGGUGGGUUACAGGUCUCCACCUUAAACAUGUGUGGAUCUGAACAAAUUAUUAAUCAACAUUUAUCUUUCAAUAACAAUAACGAUUUAAAUAUGAUUAAGAUCUGAUCAGUACCUUUUGUGAUUAUGUUACAAGAAUUAUUGAGUGUUACCAGAAUAGUUCCUAGUUUGUUUUCCAAGGAUGUAUAUUCUUUCUAUGUUGUCAUGACUGUAUGAAAAAGAGAUAGACAGGUGUACUGACAUGUAAAAACGUGCAGAGGCUCUUUCCUUGAUUCAAAGUGCCAUCAGAAUAUUAAAUAUAGCUCAUUUACGGGUUAGACUUCCUAAAGAAAUGUGUUUUGUCAUAAAGUUUUGAGAACAUUCUGCCGAUCAGAGAGAAACACAUGUGUACUUAUGUAAUGACAGAUGAAUUGUUUCUGUUAUCAUUAAUACUACUGUACAGAUGUAACAGCAGGUCGGCCUGUGGAACUCCUCAUGAGUGCUGAAGCUGACCUCUGCUUGUGUUUCUUCAGUAAAUGUUGUUUGAUCAUCUUCA